RNAcentral lists this long non-coding RNA (462 nucleotides) under Pan troglodytes (chimpanzee). Its description in RNAcentral is "long non-coding RNA NONPTRT004981". The record is from RNAcentral. Lineage: Eukaryota; Metazoa; Chordata; Mammalia; Primates; Hominidae.
UUUCGUUUCUAUGGAAAACGUGUGUCAUAGUCAUUCUGGCUACUUCUUAGAAAGGGCAUAGCUUGUAUGUAUUGGAAGGGAAUCCAUUAAACUGGAGUUGGAAAUAUUCUGGAGUCUCCGGAAUUACAGUAGGUGUUUGUUGGAGCAUUAUGGUGCAAGGACCUAGGAGUUUUUGAGAAGGUCAGUAUUACAUUCUCACUUAAAGUGCAAGGUACCAAUAAAAUCCACAGCAACUGAAGAUAGCAAUGAACAGUCAAAGGCCUUUUCUGCAUCUAUUGAGAUAAUCAUAUGGUUUUUGUCAUUGGUUCUGAUUAUAUGCUGGAUUAUGUUUAUUCAUUUGAGUAUGUUGAACCAAAGAGCUUCUGCACAGCAAAAGAAACUACCAUCAGAGUGAACAGGCAACCUACAGCAUGGGACAAAAUUUUUGCAAUCUACUCAUCUGACAAAGGGCUAAUGUCCAGA